GAGCCGAAGUUGGACGUUUAAUCGACUGAGCCACCCACGCACCCCUGAACAUUGGGUUUUUCUGCUAUAUUUCAAGACUCUGCUCUCUUGGGCCCUGAAGUCACCUUUCUGAUACGGUUACUGAGCAGAUCACCGUGAAUGCUGUGUGGGGCCACGCUGUGUCCUAUGCUGCAGAGAGACCAGCUUUGACCUUCCCAUUUAGACCGUCCCGGUCCCCACUUAACCCUAUAGAACGUUGUCAUCCAAGUCUGCAGACCUAGGGGGUCUCUUCCCACUGAGCACAGACCCCAUCUUUCCCCAGGCGGCCAUUUGGGGACCCGAGGACGAGGUUGCUGUUCCCUGCCUCCCCUGGGAUGACGGUGGAAAGUGGAGAGGUUUCCCAAUCAAGGCAGAUCAAAGCCACCGCAGAUGUGCUCCCAUGGGCUCCAUGAAGGCCGUGCCCAGGACGCCUAGCUCGGAAGCCCAAGAAAGGAAAGAUGCGCAUCUUUCUGUGUCCCUAGACCACUCCAAUCAGCUAAACGAAGGCCAACCACGGACGCUGGCAUCUAGGGCUCUGACUGUCCCGGCUCCCGGGCAGGCGGCAGAGGCACGGGACAGGUCAAGCCACCAGUCGGCAAGGCAGUUACUUUCAGGCGAGAGGUGAAGGUGAACUUGCCCUUGAUGAAGGCUCCAGGAAGCCUUGGGAACCCCGGCUUCUCGGCCAGAUCCACAGGGGAGGACUGUCACUGGGAGGGUGGGGAGAUGAUGGAGGGGCUGGACUGUCCCUUCAGCGUGUCGGUGAUCCGGGACCCCCGGUGGUCCCGACUCAGGUGCACAGGACCUCAUGGCAACCUUGUCAGGGCUGCUUAGAAGGGACCCAGAGCUUGGUGGUCCCCUUCCUUGGGACCCUCGGGUGUUGUGUCCCUCCUGGCUAAGCUUGCUCCACGGAUGGUCAAUAAAGGAGGCGACAGAGGCCAGCAAUGGCUCAUCUGGACGGGAGUCCUCGCAGGGGUGAGGAGGCUGUGCGGUGCAGUGGUUAAAGCUCGGUCAGAGACCAAACGGCUGCCAGAACCCCGGCCCACAACAUCCUGGCCGUGGGACCCGGGAUAAGCGAUUCAAAUGCCUGGACCUCAGAUUUGCCCGCCUGACUGUUCACGAGCAGCGGUUGGUAUUCACUCUGUUGUCAGCUGCUUGGGCGUCUGGGAACCCCCUCCAAGUGGGACCGGGGCUCCCUAACACCGAACGGCGUUCAGCAGCCCUGUGGGCCAAGCGACUCACGGACCCUGCUGGUGACAUCAAAACUAAUCACUCCAGGGCAGACAUCAGAGCUGGAGAGCUGAGGCAGCCAUAGGCCAGAAAUGGCAGAAGGUUCCUUGUUGAUAAAGACCAGGCAUGGACUCUCGCGGGGGCGCGCUGUGUACUUUUCCAAAGGAGGAGGGCUCACCUCGCUCGCCGCUGUGGCCCGCAGGGGACAGGAGCACAAAGAUGCCUUCUGCCCAGGGUAUUGCUUACUUGGCAGGGGACCCACAGCAGCGUGGACCGCAUGUGCCCAAAGCAGCAAAGGCAGUAGUGUUUGACAAGUCGGGCCAGUGCUAUUUCCAAAUUAAAUCACCCAGGCUGGCUGCUGGUAUGCCCUCGUCGCAGAUGGAGGGUGGCCAGCUCUGACUCUUGGCACGCAGAGCCCCAGGAAAUGCCGCCAGACGACAACAAUGGGACCCAAGGUGACAGGCCACGUACUUCUCAUAGGACCGAUGGCACUUGCCAUAUUCUAUUCCCCAAAAGGGGAGACUAGGAUUCCGGAACACCCACCAGGCGCCAUUCGUAGGCAUUGCACUCCUGCCCAACGAGGAAGGAAACAGAGACCAGGCAGAGGUCCUUCGCCCAAACGUACAGAGCUGAGACGUGGGGGGGCAGCAUUGGAACUCAGAUCUGGGUGUGCCAAUGUUCCCUCUCUUUCCUGCAAAGGUCUCCCUCUCUUCCUUUCUUCUUUGUUCAUAGCGGUCAUCCUGGGCUCUAGUCGGUGAGCCGUGCACGUGUACCUGGUAUCCUUAGUGCUGUUUUCUGUAACCAAGGACACUGAAGCUUGGGGACUUCAGUUAACUCAAUACACGCUUACUGAGCACCGAUACGUGCUGGACCCCCUGCGCUGCCGCGAGCGCUGGAUGGGUUCCCCGUGUGUGCCCGCUACUACGGUGCCUGGUGGGGGCGAGGAUGUGCGUGGUCAUUCACGGACCUUGCCCCCAGGCUACACGCUCGUUCGGGGAGCGUUUGUCUUCAGAUGCAGAAUGAGCCAGAGCAUUUCCUCGACUUGGCUGUUUCCCUAACGACUAAUACUAACACGUCAACACGUCGUGAGUUUAUCGUUUUGUGUAAACUCGACGUCUUCUCAUGGGUUAGCUGCUCGCAUCCUCACAAGGCCUCCGGGAGGUACGCGGGCUGGGUGUUGGCACGUGUUAUAGAUGAGGAAGUGAGGAGGGAACAGAAUGAGUGGGGCUGCAGAGGGCAGGCCUCAAACCUGGGGCUGGUCCUGCUCCCGGGCCAGUGUUCCCAAUGAUGACUGUCCUCACUUCCUCUGCCUCCCCUGCACGGGCUCCCUAUUUUGCAAUACGUUGCCAACAAGACCGGAUGCAUUAAGUAAGUGUGAAUGUGUUUCCCCAUUUUUCUUAAUCAAAGACAUAUGCACCUGCCACUCACAGCUCCUGCUCGGGAUCCAGCCCCCCGAGGAAGAGAGGCUUGAGGGCCUCCACUUAGUGGGGGAGGAUUUCCUCCGUCCACUCAACCCCCAGGAUUUUGUGCGCCCACUGAACGCCAGGCGCCGUUAGAGGCGCUUGAGAUACGUCGGUGAACCAAAGCUCCCCAGAGAGUACGUUCUAGCAGUGGGGAGACAGA
Long non-coding RNA from Lynx canadensis (Canada lynx), 2868 nucleotides. RefSeq lists it as uncharacterized. Lineage: Eukaryota; Metazoa; Chordata; Mammalia; Carnivora; Felidae. The record is from RefSeq and is a predicted model, not a curated record. The transcript is spliced from 3 exons.